RNAcentral lists this unclassified non-coding RNA (736 nucleotides) under uncultured Prochlorococcus sp. RNAcentral describes it as "partial 16S-23S ribosomal RNA intergenic spacer; may also contain 16S ribosomal RNA and 23S ribosomal RNA". The stretch from base 345 to 417 matches the Rfam family "tRNA". Lineage: Bacteria; Bacillati; Cyanobacteriota; Cyanophyceae; Synechococcales; Prochlorococcaceae. The record is from RNAcentral.
UUGUGGAGAAGGACGCCGAAGGUGGGGCUGAUGACUGGGGUGAAGUCGUAACAAGGUAGCCGUACCGGAAGGUGCGGCUGGAUCACCUCCUAACAGGGAGACAAUUAAAUAGAUUGUGAUGUCUAAGUAUUUUAUUCUUAGGCCACAAUCCUGUCACCUUAAGGUCGAUCGGUACCUCUGAUUUUAGAAUUUAUUUUAUAAUUUAUUCUAUUAUUUCAGUUCCUAAACUUGUCUAGGUCACACCCAACAAAGGUUUCUCCUGGGCCAUUAGCUCAGGUGGUUAGAGCGCACCCCUGAUAAGGGUGAGGUCCCUGGUUCAAGUCCAGGAUGGCCCAUUCGUUGUUGGGGGUAUAGCUCAGUUGGUAGAGCGCCUGCUUUGCAAGCAGGAUGUCAGCGGUUCGAGUCCGCUUACCUCCACUGAAAACUAUCCUGAUAACUAAAUUCUGGAGAAAAAUUUGUAGAUGUGACUUAGAAUUGUCUAUUGAAAAGAACCUAGCUUCUUAUCAUCUUUUAUAUAGUUGAUAACAUGCUGGGCUCCCAUGGAUUUAUUUCAUGAGAAUUCAGUAGAACCUUGAAAACUGCAUAGAUUAGAAAGAAUAAAGCAUCUCAUGGAUGCAUAAUUCUGUUUUUAUAAUUUAGCCUUAAAACUAAAUUUUAAUUAAAAGAAUUCAUGUUUAAUUCUUGAGUAAAAGCCGAGCACAAUUAAUUUUUUGAUUGUAUUAAGGUCAAGCUACAA